This 583-nucleotide long non-coding RNA is filed under the name Homo sapiens (human). RNAcentral's name for it is "HSALNT0293062". Lineage: Eukaryota; Metazoa; Chordata; Mammalia; Primates; Hominidae. The record is from RNAcentral.
GAGCAUGCUUCUGGAUCUGGAUCCUGGGAAACAAGGAUACAUGACACACAGAAAGAUUAAAGGAAAAAGAGAAGAGAAUGUAAAGACAAAAGAGGGAUACAAGAUGAAGAGUUUUCUCUCUACAGGAUCUGAAUAACUUUCUUCAGUAGGGUGUUUCUUUAUCUACUUAACCUUCAGAGAAAUCAAGUCCAAGAUCACACAAUAAGUGGCAAAAUCCAAAGUUGAACCCAGUGUUUUUCCCCCAACCCCAGCAGCUUCCAUUUGAAGAGGGAAAUCAUUUGAGAGACUAUGAUACACGAUGAAGAGAAGCAGGGAAUCUGCAGAGGCUGUUUAUACGCUCUAUUGAAUAGAGGUCACCCUCAUCAUUGCUGAUUCAAGACAUGGAAGCUGAAGCUGUAAUCAGAUUGGGGCUCAGAAGAAUCCCACAGUUCCAGAAGUCAUUUUAAGAACACUUAGAAAACCCUUGGAAUUCCUCUUCAGGGAGUUUUUGUUCUUGUAGGUUAUUUCCCUCACCUGCAUGGACAUGGCUGGCUCCCCACCAUCCCUCUCUGUGUUUCAGCCCAUGGAAAUGGAGAAAGAGAAG